Molecule: long non-coding RNA, 2292 nt
Organism: Rhineura floridana
Lineage: Eukaryota; Metazoa; Chordata; Lepidosauria; Squamata; Rhineuridae
Exons: 3
Source: RefSeq, a predicted model, not a curated record
CCAGAAGCUAGCAACUAUGGUUGAGAGAAGCUUGCUGGCUCUGUUUUCCCAAAUGUAGGUGCUCUUCCUUGCCGAGUCACUUCCUGUGGCACUGAUCUUGCACAGCUGCCUGAUCUCACCUCUGGAUCGUGUUCUGGACCUGAAUUGAUUCCCUGUGCUUGACCCUGCUUUGUUUGGACUGUAUUGCACCUUUGACCCUCCUCUCCUUGCAUUCCCUGGGUGGCACCAUCUCUCAGGCAAGCCUACCUCUCGGGUUUGUUGUGAGGAUAAGAGGACCUGCCUUUGUGGAGUGUUGGGAACCAACGGCGAAAAAGUAACCAGAGUUACACCACCUCCUGUGCACGCAACAGAGAUAUGACUCGACCUCAGAGAGAGCUCUGAUUGCUGCUGGAAGAGUUGCUGGGGGUCUCUCGAGAUGAAGAAGCCUUUGCAAUGUGCAUGAAACACUGAGUGAGGUAAUCGAUGCCGCUCCUGGGCCACAGCCCCAGGCGCAUCGUGACUUAAGUUGUUCUUGCAGGACUUGGGGUGGGACAGUCUUCUUGAUCUGGAACUCGCCUUUUAGACCCACCUAGGAGGCCGCUUUUCUUCUAUCUGAUCAUGACUAGGAGAAAAGAAAAAAGGAUGUGGUAGAACAUGCUGGUUAAGGACAGAGUUAGCCUCAAGGCAAAGAUGACUGCUUUGUUUCUCUAGCCCCCCCUCCCCCGAAUCAGCUGAAAUGCCAUUGUUGGAUGCAAAAUGUUUUGACUUAAAGACCUGACGGUCAGGUUGCUUACGGCUGAUGUCCAGAAUUAUGUUUCCAUAUAUGGAGUCAGGGAAAGUGAUACAACUUUGUCAAUAGCAGGGCCAGUCCAAGAAAUUUGCUCUUGGAGGCAAAAGAGAAGAUGUCACACACACACAUACCCCAGUCACACCUACGAAAGCCAACCAGGCUGGCAGCUCAAUUCUUCCUCCAAGUCUGGUGAUACUAUGGCCUCUUCCACUGCCCUCGCGAGCCCCUGGCUUCGGGAAGGAGUGGGGAGCCUUUUCUGCCUGGCAGGCCAGAUCCUUAUCUUCCUACACCUGGAGGGCCCAAAUUUGACAGGUGGGCAGGGCAGCCCAUCUGCCAGUUGUUGGACGUCAUUACAAUGUUGGGUGAUGCUGUGCUUUGAAGCCCGGAUUGUCAGAACUUCCAAGUGCAGUUUGGAGCUCUUUUGCAAGCAGCUCUGAAAGCCAGAGGUCCAGAGAGCAGCGUGAGGCUGCUUUCAAAAGGGCUUUGAACCUCUGGGUUUCAUUCAGUGGAAACUACUUUGCCAUCCUGAAGCAGAGCACCUUGGUACAGGAUAGAAACCCCUGGGGACUUGCAUUAAGCUUCUGAUUAUGCCUUGGAAGCUCUGCUCUUACUUGCCUUACACCCGGCUUCAUGUAUGCCAUCUGUGGGCACGGGUGGGCAUGGCUUGUUCCAAAUGGCCUUGUGGGCCCAAUCUGGCCUGUGGGCUAAACAUUCCCCAACCCCUGGCUUGGGUGGGGGCAUGCAGAGCAAAUUGCGCGGUACGCACAGCUCUGUGUGCUCCAUGCCCUUGAGCCAUUUGCCACCUGAUUUGGCCAUCUUUCUCUCUCUAGCGCAGGCAUGGGGAACCUUUGGUCUUCCAGAGGUUGCUGAACUACAACUCCCAUGGCCAUCCCUAGCCAUUGGGCCUGCUUGCCGGGGCUGUCAUAUCUGGGGCUCAGAGGCGGGACCAGAGUUCAGACUGGCAGGUUUGUGGUGGAGCUUCCAGGAUCUGGUCUUGGCUGCUUUUGAGAUCUGGCUGAUUCCACCUCUCUGUGUUUUCUUUUCUUUUUAAAAUCUCAUUUCAGUGCACUUAAACUUAAGACCCAUUGAAGUGCAUGGACCUCAGUCAUCGCCAUUCAUUUCAAUGGGUCUCCUCUGAGUAAGAUCAGCGUUGGGCACAACUCAAUAUAAUUAAUGAUGAUUAUAAUAAAUAAUAAUAAUUUAUUUUAUAAUCCCAAAUACUGCUUGCUUGUCAACUGUUCUUUUGGUGCACAUUUUGGCAACCAGACCUAUAUUUAUACUUUAUAUAAAUGGCAUCAAUAAUAAUAUUUUGUUUGCUUGUUAUUGGCAUCGCACUGGUACUAUCAGAGUACCAGAAUCAGCACCACACGAAGAGUGUGUGUCUGCAUUGUAAGUUCAUUGGGGCGAGGCUUCUCUAAGAGCUGAUAGUAUUGAUCUCUACAGCGCAAGGAUGAAAACUAGAGAGGAAACGUUAGUGGGAUGAGUGUGCAAGGAUACACACAUUCAGGGCAACUUCAGGAGGG